UGGGGAAUAUUGGACAAUGGACCGAGAGUCUGAUCCAGCAAUUCUGUGUGCACGAUGACGUUUUUCGGAAUGUAAAGUGCUUUCAGUUGGGAAGAAAAAAAUGACGGUACCAACAGAAGAAGUGACGGCUAAAUACGUGCCAGCAGCCGCGGUAAUACGUAUGUCACGAGCGUUAUCCGGAUUUAUUGGGCGUAAAGCGCGUCUAGGUGGUUAUGUAAGUCUGAUGUGAAAAUGCAGGGCUCAACUCUGUAUUGCGUUGGAAACUGUGUAACUAGAGUACUGGAGAGGUAAGCGGAACUACAAGUGUAGAGGUGAAAUUCGUAGAUAUUUGUAGGAAUGCCGAUGGGGAAGCCAGCUUACUGGACAGAUACUGACGCUGAAGCGCGAAAGCGUGGGUAGCAAACAGGAUUAGAUACCCUGGUAGUCCACGCCGUAACGAUGAUUACUAGGUGUUGGGGGUCGAACCUCAGCGCCCAAGCAAACGCGAUAAGUAAUCCGCCUGGGGAGUACGUACGCAAGUAU
Molecule: ribosomal RNA, 522 nt
Filed under: uncultured bacterium
Lineage: Bacteria
Description: bacterial SSU rRNA
Rfam family: Bacterial small subunit ribosomal RNA
Source: RNAcentral